Colossoma macropomum (tambaqui) is the source of this 1651-nucleotide long non-coding RNA. RefSeq lists it as uncharacterized. The transcript is spliced from 3 exons. Lineage: Eukaryota; Metazoa; Chordata; Actinopteri; Characiformes; Serrasalmidae. The record is from RefSeq and is a predicted model, not a curated record.
CCGUGGCUGCCCUCCAUUGUUGCAUACGUGCAAUACUACACAAAGUCCAGGAGAUGUCAUUCACUGGAGUCCAUGGAUCUUCUCUCUUAAUUGCUGAUGAGCAGGUCCAGAAUGUUACAGAGGCUGUCAAGGAAAUUCUGGCCCCUUUCACUGGUGUCACAGUAGGCGAUGGAGAACAUGCUCUCAAAGAGCUUCACCACUCGAUCGCUGAUGCUGCAUAUGCAGAGCUUCUUCGGAGAAUUGGUUCUGAAAGUAAGCUGAUUGAAGCUGUAAAAGCUCAGAGUCAGCUGUUGACAGGAUCUCUGGCAGUCUCCAUCAUCAGGGCAAUUAAGAAGGCAGACGCUAAGGACUUGUACUGUUCUGUGUCAGUUCAAUCUGGUUCCUCUCCCUCUAUCACAGAGGAAUCUUUGGUCUCCAGCCAGAUUGUUGACAAUGCAUUGUUAGCAAGCCAGGCCUCAAGCAGAGGCUUGAUUAAGUCAGACAGAAAGGUUCAUGCCAGCCUGGCAACCCUGGCACAGUCAGGAGCAUCUUCAUCAACUGCAGUGCCUGAAACAGAGGGGACAAAGAACGUAAACGAAAGCAGCGCAAGAGCCUAUUCUUCCAUCUCAAUUUGCCAAAAAUCAACAUCUUCAAAAAGAGAUCCAAAAAGGACAAUAAUGCCAGAUCUUAUACUUCAGAUCAGGACUGUUUUCAGAGUCGUUGCACUGCUGAUAUGACAGGUGGAGCCAACGGUGAGACUUCAAAAAGGGAGAAGCCUUGGAGACCUUCCAUUUUCACCAGGAUGUUCUCCUGCUUUAGGAAAUGAACUGCCUCAUCCCUCUUUAAGUUUCUUUAUCUACCCCAUCAUCAUCAUCAUCAUCUUCACCUCUCUUCAUGCUCCCAUUAGACUGAAUCCUGCCAGAAAACAAAAUCACUUAUCACAGUCAUCCUGACGACACCCAGGUUUACUUCACACUCUCACCAAAUGACCUUGGUCCCACAGAUACUGUGUGUCAGUGCUCAGCGCAAAUCCGGAGUCAACCAAAGGAGGAUGGGUUCCCCUUUUGAGUCUUGGUUCCUCCCAAGGUUUCUUCCUUUUGCCGUUAGGGAGUUUUUCCUUGCCACUGUCGCCCUCGGCUUGCUCAUUUGGGGAUCAGACCUGGAUUUUCUCUGAAGCUGCUUUGUGACGCUCAUAAAAAGUGCUCUAGAAAUAAAUCUUGAAUUGAAUUAAAUGAUCUGUCAACAUGUCCUCCAGGUAAAUAAAGACAGAAGUAAUAUUACUUGGCAAUGAGGAGGAAAGACUGAAAGUCAGUGAGCACUUCAGAGCUCCAAUGACUAAAGACCAAGUCAGAAACCUGGGUAUACUAACGGAUCCAAAUCAAACCUGAAAUUUUAGUCCAAAUCUGAAUUUUGGCUAAAAACCUUCUGUCCAAGCUCAAUGUGACCUGAACCACCUAAGUUUACAGUCUGAAAUUGAUCCCACUCCAGUCCUAAAACUCUUUCUUUAAAUAGAAUGUAUUCAGCACAAAGCAGAAACAGGUUUGGCCAAAAAAUUCCUAAUUCCUUUUAUUUUUUUAUUUCCCCCUUAUUUUAUUGUACUGUUUUUAUUUUGCUUUUAUUUAUGUAAAGCACUUUGACCUGCCCUUCGUAAAAUAAACUUGUAAUAAACAAA